UGACCUCGGAUCAGGUAGGGAUACCCGCUGAACUUAAGCAUAUCAAUAAGCGGAGGAAAAGAAACCAACAGGGAUUGCCCUAGUAACGGCGAGUGAAGCGGCAACAGCUCAAAUUUGAAAGCUAGCCUUCGGGUUCGCAUUGUAAUUUGUAGAGGAUGAUUUGGGGAAGCCGCCUGUCUAAGUUCCUUGGAACAGGACGUCAUAGAGGGUGAGAAUCCCGUAUGUGACAGGAAAUGGCACCCUAUGUAAAUCUCCUUCGACGAGUCGAGUUGUUUGGGAAUGCAGCUCUAAAUGGGAGGUAAAUUUCUUCUAAAGCUAAAUAUUGGCGAGAGACCGAUAGCGCACAAGUAGAGUGAUCGAAAGAUGAAAAGCACUUUGGAAAGAGAGUUAAAAAGCACGUGAAAUUGUUGAAAGGGAAGCGCUUGCAAUCAGACUUGUUUAAACUGUUCGGCCGGUCUUCUGACCGGUUUACUCAGUUUGGACAGGCCAGCAUCAGUUUCGGCGGCCGGAUAAAGGCUCUGGGAAUGUGGCCUCCACUUCGGUGGAGGUGUUAUAGCCCAGGGUGUAAUACGGCCAGCCGGGACUGAGGUCCGCGCUCGGCUAGGAU
This 607-nucleotide ribosomal RNA is filed under the name Aureobasidium pullulans. RNAcentral's name for it is "eukaryotic LSU rRNA". It matches the Rfam family "Eukaryotic large subunit ribosomal RNA", at positions 1 to 624 of the family's 3401-position model. Lineage: Eukaryota; Fungi; Ascomycota; Dothideomycetes; Dothideales; Saccotheciaceae. The record is from RNAcentral.